Long non-coding RNA from Neopelma chrysocephalum (saffron-crested tyrant-manakin), 2568 nucleotides. RefSeq lists it as uncharacterized. The transcript has 3 exons. NCBI's taxonomy places the organism in Eukaryota, Metazoa, Chordata, Aves, Passeriformes, Pipridae. The record is from RefSeq and is a predicted model, not a curated record.
UCUAGGAUGACCCUGCUUGAGCAGGGAGGUUGGACCAGAUGACCCACUGUGGUCCAUUCCAACCUGACCCGUUCUGUGAUUCUUCAGCGGGAGUGAAGCUUUGUGACCUUUGCAACCCGUGUGUGUAUGCAGCUCUCCUUGUUUUCCUCUGGGCAAAGCCAGAGUGAAUCCUUCAUUGAGAACUUUUUAGAUAAACACAGACAGGGCAAGAACAAGGGGAUGUGGAACAGUUGGGUCCCAGGUACCCUCUGUGUCACCAGCAGUGUCUCUCUGAAAUCUAAAAGCAUUACAAACAGCAAUUUUUAACUCAUUUCUAAAGCAAGCUCUUGAAUAAUGAGCAUGAACUCUUCAGUAUCUGUUGCUUGUAGUAAUGCAGGGAGCUUAGGCCUGAUGGCUACCUGGGAGUUUCCUUCUGGAGGACACCAUUCAUCAUCGUAACAGUUAAUAUUUCACAAAGAUUCUGGUCUCUACAAUAAUCAUUUUCCCACAUUUUGUUUGCUGUAAAUCAUGUACUUUGUUGUUUGCCUACCUGUAAUGCACCAUGGUUCUGUUCCCUGUUCAUAAACACAGAGAGGUGGAAAACAUCCUUGAGUUUUGACGUGCUGUGGUUUUCAAACUUGGAAAUCUUGAAAAAAAAAAGAAGAAUCCAAAGAAGAAUACAUUUUUUUACUGUGCUUUGACGCUCAGUCUGCUCAGCAUUGCCAGCCAAAUACUGCAAGAUUGCUCCUGGGUUUGGAAAUGAACCUUACCUGUGGUUACAGAAUUGAAAACUCUUUCAGAUCUGCUGGGUACAAGAAUUGGGAACUAUACACAUGCCUGGAUCUCAGCUUGUAUGAAAAUUAUGGAAGUACUUCCAGACACCUAGUAACCUACAGACAAUCUGCUAAUCACAAAGCAACACCAGAGAGGAGCCCUGAGGCUGCUGAAUGAUACCGUUACUACAGGAGAUUUUCCAUCAGCUGAAUGGAUGUUAGUUCCUUUGUGUUAGGGGUGGCCUUUAUGUAGCAGGCACUGCAGUCGUAUCUAUAAAACACAGAAAAUAAUUGUAGAAAUAGCUACACUCACUAUACUCACGUAAGUAGCAUGGAGGCCAGCACACUAUGUAGGUGUGCUCACACUGCCGCAGCUACUCUGCUGGCAUGGCCAACGUAAUUUGUAGCUAACUCAGCCCAGCCUAGAAAAGACUCAAUAUGACCAAGUACUUCCGAGGUCCUCCAGCACAACUGCCUGCAAAGAUAACUGAAGUGUGACUCCUUCAUUCUUUUACAGGCAGUUCUAUAAACCAUGAGGAUUACAAAUUUCUAUGGAAGAGAUCCAGAUGAUGAACUGUUUGGUGUAGAGGCCUUGAUUUACCUUACGUGUUGUACUCAUCUUUAUUGCUUUAUGAAGAUUAUAGACCUCUUAUUUCAUUCAGAGAAAUUUGCCCUUGAUAUAAAUAUUCAUAGAGCUGCAUGUGUGGCUGUGUUUAUAACCAGCAGUGUGAAAUAAAUUAGGUUACUCAGGUUGCAUCAAAACAGAUAAGCAGAGUGAACUUCUCAGGGAAUUUGGAAGACAGCUGUAGUGGUAAUCCAAUCACAAAGAGCCAAAUGCUUUCCUUUGUAGUAAAAUGGCUACCCAUAUCACCUCCACAUGUGAAUAUGCAUUCCCAAUAAAGCAGGGCUAUACUACUAUAUGUACCUGCAUGCUGGGUAAUGUGCUAGCAGGAACGUCCAUAACUAAGGAUGCAUAGAUGUUGCAAUUUCAUAGUUGGUACUGGUAUUUUGGCAGCAUUUCUACAAGUUGUAUUGAGUAUUUCACAAAUAGCAGCCGCCUUUUGGAACCUGCUCCCAGGGCACAAUGGAUGAGCUUGUUUGUCUCCUCACACCAGUGCACGGAUGGGCUCUUGGCUGACUGCUGGCUGAAGCAUAGGAAAUUCCAGGUCAGAACACUCACUGUUCCACCUGAGAGCCAAGCCCUGGAGCUACUGAACAGAUCAUUAAGUAGGAUGUAAAACUUGUUCUGCCAGUCUGAAACCUUAUUUCCCUUUGACAGCAUGGUCAUCAUUAGAUUCCUAUGGCUGUUUAUUUCUAGGGGCCUUACUUCCCUGCUCCAAUCCUAACUAACUAAACCACACCAUGACCUAAGAACAUUUGACAAAUGAUUGAACUAUAAAAUUAGGAGUUAAUAUGUACUACAUGUUGAGAGAUUCUUUACCGAAUGGUGUGCUCCUGACCAGCUCAGCCACAGUUUUUUAUGGGGGAUACAAAUAUCUGGUGGGCUUGAAUGUCUUAUUUUGUUGGAGGCAAGAUUACAGAAAGCCAGAGUUAUAGUAGAAUUUCAAAGAAAUGGACAUUUCCUUGUUCUAUGAGGAGCGGCUGAGGGAGUUGGGAUUGUUUAGCCUGGAGAAGAGAAGGCUCAGGGGAGACCUCAUCACUCUCUGCAACUACCUGAAAGGAGGUUGUAGCCAGGUGGGUGUUGGCCUCUCCUCCCAGCUACCUAGCAAGAGGACAUAGUCUUCAGCUGUGCCAGGGGAGGUUUAGGUGGAUAUUAGGAAGAAUUUCUUCACAGAAAGGGUGAUUAUACACUAGA